UUUCCCAGAAUUGCUUUGAAUUUUGAUCCAACCUUCUGCUCCUCAUCCAUUGCCCAUUGACUCUGAAAGCAUCAAGAAUGUUAUUGAUGAAAAGGACCUGGACUCCAUGUGUGGAAAAGUGAUCAGCCAUUUCCUCUCCUAGACUGAUGAAGAUCACAAGACUUCUAUGCUUUAGUUGGUGGUCUUUGCAGAAUCACAGCAAGACAGCACCCAAGUGGAUCUUUUAUGGAGGUCAUGAAAAUUUAGUGGCAAGACAAACAUCAGGAUCCAUGGCAAUGGAUAUAGUGGAUAACCUUGUUCAAUGUCUGAUUAAGCUCCAAGUAUUCCAUAGUAGAGUGCCUGCCUUUGGAACAAUUUCUUCAUCUCCACCCAUUCCACUGGGGGAAGUCCUCACAUGUUUGUAAUAGACAUUUCAAUAAUUCACUGACCAAUGCAUUUGAGGAAGACUGUAAGGCGAGUUUCAUCAGUGAUUUUUCUUGGAGCACAUGAUGAACCUAAAGAUCAUAGAUAUAGAUCUGCAAGUAACCCUGGUGGCCUUCUUCUCCAACUGCUCCAUUUUGUAAUUGAGUAAAAUAAAGUCUGGGGAAAUUAAGAGAUAAAAUCA
This 604-nucleotide long non-coding RNA is filed under the name Monodelphis domestica (gray short-tailed opossum). RNAcentral's name for it is "lncRNA (ENSMODG00000049318.1)". The record is from RNAcentral. Lineage: Eukaryota; Metazoa; Chordata; Mammalia; Didelphimorphia; Didelphidae.